RNAcentral lists this ribosomal RNA (269 nucleotides) under Salmonella enterica subsp. enterica serovar Anatum. RNAcentral describes it as "partial 23S ribosomal RNA". It matches the Rfam family "Bacterial large subunit ribosomal RNA", at positions 1556 to 1806 of the family's 2925-position model. The record is from RNAcentral. Lineage: Bacteria; Pseudomonadati; Pseudomonadota; Gammaproteobacteria; Enterobacterales; Enterobacteriaceae.
CUGAGGCGUGAUGACGAGGCACUACGGUGCUGAAGCAACAAAUGCCCUGCUUCCAGGAAAAGCCUCUAAGCAUCAGGUAACAUCAAAUCGUACCCCAAACCGACACAGGUGGUCAGGUAGAGAAUACCAAGGCGCUUGAGAGAACUCGGGUGAAGGAACUAGGCAAAAUGGUGCCGUAACUUCGGGAGAAGGCACGCUGACACGUAGGUGAAGUGAUUUACUCAUGGAGCUGAAGUCAGUCGAAGAUACCAGCUGGCUGCAACUGUUUA